CUUUUAUUUUGUGGAGAGGAAGUAGACUAAAGCAGCUGAGGAGAAUUGUUUGACUACAUAUAAAUGUACAUUGCAUACAUGUAUUUGGAUUUUGGCAGGUUUCAUGAUUUAUAAGGUUUUUUUUCUUCCUCUGCAGAUUAGUGGCGUCAGUUCUCAAAUGUAUUCAUUAAGCUGUAAAGAAAAGGAAAGGGCCCACAGCAAAAGUUUGGACACCUUGCAGUUGACUAGGGGGCCCAAACUGCAUGCCAGUGAAACUCUGCUUUGGCAUCCGAGCACUUCAUGUUAUCUGUGGACCAGACCAUUGUGAAUGGCCAUAUCGCUAUCUUCAGUGAUGCACUUCUCUUGAUGUUUGGCUCUUACUACUGCAUGAACAUUUCUUAUCCAGUAGCCCAGGCAGCAACCUU
Molecule: long non-coding RNA, 404 nt
Organism: Oreochromis aureus
Lineage: Eukaryota; Metazoa; Chordata; Actinopteri; Cichliformes; Cichlidae
Source: Ensembl